RNAcentral lists this long non-coding RNA (1356 nucleotides) under Gallus gallus (chicken). RNAcentral's name for it is "lncRNA (ENSGALG00010007760.1)". The record is from RNAcentral. Lineage: Eukaryota; Metazoa; Chordata; Aves; Galliformes; Phasianidae.
CUGCAAUCCGUAAGGUAGACCUAUAAGAUCCCUUCCCACUCAACCCAACCAUUUUACGUCCCUCUGACCUAUAAGGUCCCUUCCAACCCAACCACUCUAUGAUCUAUGAGGUCCCUUCCAACCCAACCCAACCAUUCCAUGGCUCCAUGACCGAUAAGAUCCCUUCCAACCCAACCACUCUACAGCUCUGUGAUCUACAAAGUCUUUUCCAACCCAACCACUCUAUGAUCUGUGAGGCCCCUUCCAACCCAACCCAACCAUUCUAUGCCUCCGUGAUCAAUUAAGAUCCUUUCCAACCCAACCAUUUGGUGGCUCUGUGAUCCAUAAGGACUCUUCCAAUCCCACCCAACCCAACCACACUACAGCUCUGUGACCCACACAGUCCCUUCCAACCCAACCACUCUACAACUCUAUGAUCUAUGAGGUCCCUUCCAACCCAACCCAACCAUUCCAUGGCUCCAUGACCGAUAAGAUCCCUUCCAACCCAACCACUCUACAGCUCUGUGAUCUACAAAGUCUUUUCCAACCCAACCACUCUAUGACUCUAUGAUCUGUGAGGCCCCUUCCAACCCAACCCAACCAUUCUAUGCCUCCGUGAUCAAUUAAGACCCUUUCCAACCCAACCAUUUGGUGGCUCUGGGAUCCAUAAGGACUCUUCCAAUCCCACCCAACCCAACCACACUACAGCUCUGUGACCCACACAGUCCCUUCCAACCCAACCACUCUACAACUCUAUGAUCUAUGAGGUCCCUUCCAACCCAACCACUCUAUGAUCUAUGAGGUUCCUUCCAACCCAACCCAACCAUUCCAUGGCUCCAUGACCGAUAAGAUCCCUUCCAACCCAACCACUCUACAGCUCUGUGAUCUACAAAGUCUUUUCCAACCCAACCACUCUAUGACUCUAUGAUCUGUGAGGCCCCUUCCAACCCAACCCAACCAUUCUAUGCCUCCGUGAUCAAUUAAGACCCUUUCCAACCCAACCAUUUGGUGGCUCUGGGAUCCAUAAGGACCCUUCCAAUCCCACCCAACCCAACCACACUACUGUUCAGCGACCCACACAGUCCCUUCCAACCCAACCACUCUACAGCUCUGUGAUCUAUGAGGUCCCUUCCAACCCAACCCAUGGCUCUUCAAUCCAUAAAGUCGACCUAUAAGACCCCUUCCCACUCAACCCAACCAUUUUACGUCCCUAUGACCUAUGAGGUCCCUUCCAACCCAACCCAACCAUUCCAUGGCUCCAUGACCGAUAAGAUCCCUUCCAACCCAACCACUCUACAACUCUAUGAUCUAUGAGGUCCCUUCCAACCCAACCCAUGGCUCUUCAAUCCAUAAAGUCGACCUAUAAGACCCCUUCCC